RNAcentral lists this long non-coding RNA (519 nucleotides) under Cyanistes caeruleus (blue tit). RNAcentral describes it as "lncRNA (ENSCCEG00000023431.1)". The record is from RNAcentral. Lineage: Eukaryota; Metazoa; Chordata; Aves; Passeriformes; Paridae.
UGUCAGUCACCCCAGGAACGUGACUCCGCUGUUUUCAGCCGAAGACUCUUUUGAGGACAGAAGCAAUAACCCCUGCGCACCAAGGGGCUCCUUCUUCAGGUCAGGACGACGCCACAAGCAACGAGAAGACUGAAACCCCCGCGGCGGGAGAGCAGGGAACCAGGAGACCUGAGUGUAAGUCCCAUCUCUCAGGAGAUUUUCUACAGUAGACCCAGAACCAGUGGCACAAAGCAGGUAAGUUACAUGACAAAGGCACUGAGAAUCAGUGAAAAGCCCUCAUUUAGAAGAAGGGUUCCUUCCUUUUAUUUAAUCUCUACAAUGUUAUAUGAGCUUUUAUAAAACUUCUCUUUUAAUUUAGAAAAUCAUGGAAUGUUUUUAGAAAUCAAAUCCAUUGAAACAAUUUAGUUUGUCCUUUGUAUACUGUAUUUAAAUUUAAAGGACAUGGGAUGUUUCAAAGAUGUUAUGAAAUUUGGCACUGUCAUUUAUUGAAUAAAUUGUUUAUUUGAGGGGAAGAAACCA